GUCAUGCCCUUAAUCACAAUUUGAUCCUAUACAAACCACAUUUACUUUCAUGUUCAAUACACAUAUGCUAUGCACUUUAAGUAUAUAAAUAUGAUGGGUCCUAUUUAAGGUGUGCCUAGCACAUUGUUCAACCUGGAUUCUUAAUGUUGGGUAGUUCUUUUUUAGUUGCUCUAACUGGGUAUGGUGGUAAUAAUGAACCAAUACUUAAACUUAUUUUUUUGGUGGUAUUAAUGAACCUGGGUUAUCUUAAUGUUGGGAAGAAGAGACCGGCACCUUCAAUACAAGCAACGGUAGCAUACAGGGUGUGGUGUGGAUGUACAAGUACUACUACUGGAGCACAACACAGAGACACUGAUGAUGCAUCGUCGUCUUCUUCAGUUAUUAAUAAGCUCGCUCCCUACGCAAACAUCAAACAACAGCUGGAAUCGUAAGUAGAUCAACACGACGCGACGCCUCCCUUCUGAAAGCGGAGGCCUCUGCUUUCAGAAUGGACGCUCUGUAUGCAGCACGGUGAAGGCCGGCGGCUUAUCAGUCGCAGCACAUCUCGCAGAUCCAGCAGCAGCACAGCGCCGCGAUGCUGAAAUCAAAACAUCAAGUAGUAAGUUUUAAUCGGAGAGAUCAACUGCAUGUAUAACUCCAAAAGAUUUCGACUACUUAUCGUAAAGUUUUAAUUUUUUAAUCAGUUGACAGAUUACCAUCCUUCGAUGAAUCCUUUCUCUCCGCGAGAGGUCGUCUUGCCCCGGCGCCCCUUCCGCCCUCCCUGCUGCUCUGCACCUGACGCGGUCGGGUAGCCUGCAUAUAUGCGUCCAAGCAUGGCACGACGAACGAGUUCAGAACCAAUCCAGCCAGAGACAACAAGCUAGGUGCCCAAGAAACUGUAGCCUCCUGUGUUGGCCAUAGCCCAUAUAAGUGAUUCAGAAACCUGACCUGGUGGUGGAGGCGGCUGGCUGUUGCUGUUGUUCUCCAUCCUUUCUUGCUUCUGAAGACUCUAGAGCAGGAUGAUGCACAUUCUACAACUCGUAGGUAAAGGUGGCUGUCUUGGUUGGGAUCUCAACGAGACAAGCUGCCCCUUAUAUAGCCUUUGCUGCAGGGCAGUGUGUUGGUUGCUGGUGCCUUCCUUGCCGCCCUGGUCUUUCUCUUACAGAUAAGACCUGUGAC
RNAcentral lists this long non-coding RNA (1158 nucleotides) under Setaria viridis. Its description in RNAcentral is "long non-coding RNA (SVIR_LNC006212)". The record is from RNAcentral. Lineage: Eukaryota; Viridiplantae; Streptophyta; Magnoliopsida; Poales; Poaceae.